Molecule: ribosomal RNA, 1170 nt
Filed under: Weissella confusa
Lineage: Bacteria; Bacillati; Bacillota; Bacilli; Lactobacillales; Lactobacillaceae
Description: bacterial SSU rRNA
Rfam family: Bacterial small subunit ribosomal RNA
Source: RNAcentral
UGCUAAUACAUGCAAGUCGAACGCUUUGUGGUUCAACUGAUUUGAAGAGCUUGCUCAGAUAUGACGAUGGACAUUGCAAAGAGUGGCGAACGGGUGAGUAACACGUGGGAAACCUACCUCUUAGCAGGGGAUAACAUUUGGAAACAGAUGCUAAUACCGUAUAACAAUGACAACCGCAUGGUUGUUAUUUAAAAGAUGGUUCUGCUAUCACUAAGAGAUGGUCCCGCGGUGCAUUAGCUAGUUGGUAAGGUAAUGGCUUACCAAGGCGAUGAUGCAUAGCCGAGUUGAGAGACUGAUCGGCCACAAUGGGACUGAGACACGGCCCAUACUCCUACGGGAGGCAGCAGUAGGGAAUCUUCCACAAUGGGCGAAAGCCUGAUGGAGCAACGCCGCGUGUGUGAUGAAGGGUUUCGGCUCGUAAAACACUGUUGUAAGAGAAGAAUGACAUUGAGAGUAACUGUUCAAUGUGUGACGGUAUCUUACCAGAAAGGAACGGCUAAAUACGUGCCAGCAGCCGCGGUAAUACGUAUGUUCCAAGCGUUAUCCGGAUUUAUUGGGCGUAAAGCGAGCGCAGACGGUUAUUUAAGUCUGAAGUGAAAGCCCUCAGCUCAACUGAGGAAUUGCUUUGGAAACUGGAUGACUUGAGUGCAGUAGAGGAAAGUGGAACUCCAUGUGUAGCGGUGAGAUGCGUAGAUAUAUGGAAGAACACCAGUGGCGAAGGCGGCUUUCUGGACUGUAACUGACGUUGAGGCUCGAAAGUGUGGGUAGCAAACAGGAUUAGAUACCCUGGUAGUCCACACCGUACACGAUGAGUGCUAGGUGUUUGAGGGUUUCCGCCCUUAAGUGCCGCAGCUAACGCAUUAAGCACUCCGCCUGGGGAGUACGACCGCAAGGUUGAGACUCAUAGGAAUUGACGGGGACCCGCACAAGCGGUGGAGCAUGUGGUUUAAUUCGAAGCAACGCGAAGAACUUACCAGGUCUUGACAUCCUUGACACUCCCGACAUGGAGCGUUCCUUCGGGGACAAGUGACAGUGGUGCAUGGUUGUCGUCAGCUCCUGUCCUGACAUGUUGGGUUAGUUCCCUCACCAACCCACCCUUAUUACAAGUGACACAAUCCCUGGGCCCCCUCUUGAAAGGCGGGGGCGACCGCACCACAGGGGGGAGAGAGU